AACUGAUACUACCUGCGGGAACCUGCGGAGGGAUCAUUAAUGAGAAACUGCCCCUCGCGGGUAGAUCUCCCACCCUUUGUAAACUUACCUUUGUUGCUUUGGCAGGCCCGUCUCCGGACCGCCGGCUUCGGCUGGCCAGUGCCUGCCAGAGGAUUCUAAAACUCUGUCUGUCAGUGUUGUCUGAGUCUAUAUACAAUCGUUAAAACUUUUAACAACGGAUCUCUAGAUCGGAAGAGCACA
This 240-nucleotide unclassified non-coding RNA is filed under the name soil metagenome. RNAcentral describes it as "partial contains 5.8S ribosomal RNA, internal transcribed spacer 2, and large subunit ribosomal RNA". The record is from RNAcentral.